UACGAAGGGGGCUAGCGUUGCUCGGAAUCACUGGGCGUAAAGCGCACGUAGGCGGAUUGUUAAGUCAGGGGUGAAAUCCUGGAGCUCAACUCCAGAACUGCCUUUGAUACUGGCGAUCUCGAGUCCGGGAGAGGUGAGUGGAACUGCGAGUGUAGAGGUGAAAUUCGUAGAUAUUCGCAAGAACACCAGUGGCGAAGGCGGCUCACUGGCCCGAUACUGACGCUGAGGAGCGAAAGCAUGGGGAGCGAACAGG
Molecule: ribosomal RNA, 253 nt
Filed under: uncultured bacterium
Lineage: Bacteria
Description: partial 16S ribosomal RNA
Rfam family: Bacterial small subunit ribosomal RNA
Source: RNAcentral